This 253-nucleotide ribosomal RNA is filed under the name uncultured bacterium. RNAcentral's name for it is "partial 16S ribosomal RNA". It matches the Rfam family "Bacterial small subunit ribosomal RNA", at positions 524 to 776 of the family's 1533-position model. The record is from RNAcentral.
UACGUAGGGUGCAAGCGUUACUCGGAAUUACUGGGCGUAAAGCGUGCGCAGGCGGUCUUGCAAGACAGGUGGGAAAUCCCCGGGCUUAACCUGGGAACUGCACUUGUGACUGCAAGGCUGGAGUACGGCAGAGGGGGAUGGAAUUCCGCGUGUAGCAGUGAAAUGCGUAGAUAUGCGGAGGAACACCGAUGGCGAAGGCAAUCCCCUGGGCCUGUACUGACGCUCAUGCACGAAAGCGUGGGGAGCAAACCGG